Molecule: ribosomal RNA, 487 nt
Filed under: uncultured Bacillota bacterium
Lineage: Bacteria; Bacillati; Bacillota
Description: bacterial SSU rRNA
Rfam family: Bacterial small subunit ribosomal RNA
Source: RNAcentral
CUACAAAGGAAUUGAGGGAACCCGCACAAGCGGUGGAGUAUGUUGUUUAAUUCGAGGAUACACGAAGAACCUUACCAGGUCUUGACAUACCAUUGACCGGUCUAGAGAUAGACUUUUCGCUUUCGGGCGGACAAUGGAUACAGGUGGUGCAUGGUUGUCGUCAGCUCGUGCCGUGAGGUGUUGGGUUAAGUCCCGCAACAAGCGCAACCCCUAUUGAUAGUUGCUAAUAUUAAGUUAAGGACUCUAUUGAGACUGCCAGCGACAAGCUGGAGGAAGGUGGGGAUGACGUCAAAUCAUCAUGCCCUUUAUGACCUGGGCUACAAACGUACUACAAUGGCCAGAUACAAAGAGAUGCGAAGCCGCGAGGUGGAGCGAACCUCAUAAAAAUGGUCUCAGUUCGGAUUGGAGUCUGCAACUCGACUCCAUGAAGUCGGAAUCGCUAGUAAUCGCGGGUCAGCAGACCGCGGUGAAUACGUUCCCGGGUUUU